CAACCAUCUUGCCCUCAAGUGCAGCCGGCAGGCCUUGAGUCUCGCACUUAUAGAUAGACGCUGUUUCCUUAUCAGAGACACCACGUGUCGGGGGACUUCCAUCCGCUGGCUGUUGCGUGCGUUGUCUCAGUAUUACGCCAUUCCGUCGGGCAGGACCAUGUUGCGCGUAUCACAGGUCGUUCUGUGCGUAACCGUCUACGUCGUUGCCAGUGCGGCGAACCCUGGCAGUGCGGUGGACAUCGGCACACCGGAGGUCCCUGUCCCGCUGGCGCAGCCUGGAGACUUUACUUCGGGAGCCCUGGGAAGACCACUGCGAAUCUUGGCCGUCAUGACAGUCGACACCAUGAGCCACCACUUGUGGAUGGCGCCGUUGACGGUGGAGCUUGCCAAGCGCGGCCAUCACGUCACUUCCCUGGAUGUGGCCAUGCCUAAAGAGGUUCCGCCAACGCUGAAUGUGACGGUCAUCGAGACGGCAUUCCCCAAGAUGGAUUCCAAGUGGCUGCGACACUUCCAAGAGUCCGGUUCGCUGGAGCAGAUGGCUAUACUGCACAAGUUUGACUUGGACGAGUGUGCCCUAGAUCUGUCAGCCCCUGCCUUCCGCCGAAUCUUGGACCCAUCAUUUAAGGACACGUUCGACCUAAUCGUGCUGGACUACGUCAGCGACUGCCAACUGGGUUUGGCGCACCGUUUCGGCUACCCGGGUUUUGUGGUUGUGUCGCCGUUCCCCGGUUCGCCCUGGCUCUACGACCUGAUGGGCAACCCGGCCGUCCCGGCGGUGGUCUGCAACACCCUGGUGCCCUUCCCGCACCCCAUGAGCCUGUGGCAGCGCGCGGCCACGGCCGGGCUCAGCGCCUACAUGAAGCUGCUCGAGUGGUACUUCCGCGGGGAGGUGGACGAGGUGCUGCGAACGCACUACGGCCAGGACGUGCCGAGCGCAGCGGAGCUGCGGAGGCACGUCCACAUCGCCCUGGUCAACGACAUCCCCGUCCUGGACACGCCGCAGGCCUACGUGCCCUCCGUCGUCCCGGUCGGCGGCAUGCACGUGCGGCCCGCCAACCUCAGCAACAUCCCGCCGGGCUUGGCAGACUGGUUGGACGAAGCCGAGAACGGCUUCGUGCUCAUGUCUUUCGGGUCCGUCUUGAAAGGCUCAAAUUUAGAGAGCGAGACGAUACGCGCUUUCGUGGAGGCCUUUCAAGAACUAAGUGACGUGCGUAUUCUCUGGAAAAUGGAACCGGAAGUGGUGGGCAAAGCGUCUCUGCCUUCCAACGUCCGCAUUGAGAAGUGGAUGCCUCAAAGCGAUAUCCUAGGUACCGAGACGCAGCGCUCCGGACCUCCGCGCUACUGCGCGACCGCCAAAACUCGCCCCUGGAGACGGCAGUGUGGUGGUGCGAGUACGUGGCGAGGCACCGCGGGGCGCCCCACCUCCGCAGCCCCGCCCUCGACGUGCCCUGGCCGCAAGCCAUGCUGCUGGACGUCGUGGCCCUCGCCACGCUGGCGGUCCUUGCCGUGGGGACUGCGGUGGCGCUGCUCGUCAGGACGUGCCUGAGGCGCCUGUUCCGUCAAACGGAGAUAGAGACCUCUGCAGGGACGAAGAAGAAGACGAACUGAUUUUUAGGGGCCCCUGCACUGUGGCAAACGGUCCCAGCGAAGUGAUUUCUCAGAACAUAUGGUGCAAGAGUUGCAAGAAACCCGUGGCUGAAAAGUGCGUAGACGACGAACACUCGGUGUGCAGUAUGAAGAGGGCCCGAUUGGAGAAAGCCCAGCAGCUGCUG
This 1772-nucleotide unclassified non-coding RNA is filed under the name Thrips palmi. RNAcentral describes it as "uDP-glucuronosyltransferase-like, transcript variant X1". Lineage: Eukaryota; Metazoa; Arthropoda; Insecta; Thysanoptera; Thripidae. The record is from RNAcentral.